Molecule: ribosomal RNA, 496 nt
Filed under: uncultured bacterium
Lineage: Bacteria
Description: partial 16S ribosomal RNA
Rfam family: Bacterial small subunit ribosomal RNA
Source: RNAcentral
GAUGAACGCUGGCGGCGUGCCUAAUACAUGCAAGUCGAGCGAACAGACGAGGAGCUUGCUCCUCUGACGUUAGCGGCGGACGGGUGAGUAACACGUGGAUAACCUACCUAUAAGACUGGGAUAACUUCGGGAAACCGGAGCUAAUACCGGAUAAUAUAUUGAACCGCAUGGUUCAAUAGUGAAAGACGGUUUUGCUGUCACUUAUAGAUGGAUCCGCGCCGCAUUAGCUAGUUGGUAAGGUAACGGCUUACCAAGGCAACGAUGCGUAGCCGACCUGAGAGGGUGAUCGGCCACACUGGAACUGAGACACGGUCCAGACUCCUACGGGAGGCAGCAGUAGGGAAUCUUCCGCAAUGGGCGAAAGCCUGACGGAGCAACGCCGCGUGAGUGAUGAAGGGCUUCGGAUCGUAAAACUCUGUUAUUAGGGAAGAACAAAUGUGUAAGUAACUAUGCACGUCUUGACGGUACCUAAUCAGAAAGCCACGGCUAACUACGU